RNAcentral lists this ribosomal RNA (253 nucleotides) under uncultured bacterium. RNAcentral's name for it is "partial 16S ribosomal RNA". It matches the Rfam family "Bacterial small subunit ribosomal RNA", at positions 524 to 776 of the family's 1533-position model. The record is from RNAcentral.
UACGUAGGGGGCUAGCGUUGUUCGGAUUCAUUGGGCGUAAAGGGUGCGUAGGCGGCGGGGCAAGUCUGAUGUGAAAUCCUGGGGCUCAACCUGGGAACUGCAUUUGUGACUGCAUCGCUGGAGUGCGGCAGAGGGGGAUGGAAUUCCGCGUGUAGCAGUGAAAUGCGUAGAUAUGCGGAGGAACACCGAUGGCGAAGGCAAUCCCCUGGGCCUGCACUGACGCUCAUGCACGAAAGCGUGGGGAGCGAACAGG